This is a long non-coding RNA of Bactrocera latifrons, 131 nucleotides long. RefSeq lists it as uncharacterized. The record is from RefSeq and is a predicted model, not a curated record. Lineage: Eukaryota; Metazoa; Arthropoda; Insecta; Diptera; Tephritidae. The transcript is spliced from 2 exons.
CUACUACCAUUUCAUCGUGAUCCUCAUCGAAGACAGCGCCAUUGAGAACGUCUAAAAAUAAAAUUGAAUUGAAAAUGAAAGAAAAGAAAUACAACAUAAUAGUCAUGGUUAUGAAGAAAGCGGAAUUUUGC